UCCGGGCGGACGCCGAGUCCUGCCGCCGCCCGGAUGACUGGUCGACAGGAGUGGAUCGGCAGGAGUGGAGGACCCAGCAAGGCGGGCCUCCGGAGAGAUCCGGAAGGUCCUUGGGGUGAAGCCGCAGUACGCGGCCGGGCUACUUCGCCAGUCCGAAUCCGACAGGUCAUCCUUCACAGGCGGCUGACGAAGGGUUG
This 197-nucleotide small RNA is filed under the name Streptomyces avermitilis. Its description in RNAcentral is "c-di-AMP sequence". It matches the Rfam family "c-di-AMP riboswitch aptamer (ydaO/yuaA leader)". From Rfam's summary of the family: This family represents a conserved RNA structure found upstream of the ydaO and yuaA genes in Bacillus subtilis and related genes in other bacteria. The record is from RNAcentral. Lineage: Bacteria; Bacillati; Actinomycetota; Actinomycetes; Kitasatosporales; Streptomycetaceae.